Molecule: ribosomal RNA, 496 nt
Filed under: uncultured bacterium
Lineage: Bacteria
Description: partial 16S ribosomal RNA
Rfam family: Bacterial small subunit ribosomal RNA
Source: RNAcentral
GAUGAACGCUGGCGGCGUGCCUAAUACAUGCAAGUCGAGCGAACAGAUGAGGAGCUUGCUCCUCUGACGUUAGCGGCGGACGGGUGAGUAACACGUGGAUAACCUACCUAUAAGACUGGGAUAACUUCGGGAAACCGGAGCUAAUACCGGAUAAUAUAUUGAACCGCAUGGUUCAAUAGUGAAAGACGGUUUUGCUGUCACUUAUAGAUGGAUCCGCGCCGCAUUAGCUAGUUGGUAAGGUAACGGCUUACCAAGGCAACGAUGCGUAGCCGACCUGAGAGGGUGAUCGGCCACACUGGAACUGAGACACGGUCCAGACUCCUACGGGAGGCAGCAGUAGGGAAUCUUCCGCAAUGGGCGAAAGCCUGACGGAGCAACGCCGCGUGAGUGAUGAAGGUCUUCGGAUCGUAAAACUCUGUUAUUAGGGAAGAACAAAUGUGUAAGUAACUAUGCACGUCUGGACGGUACCGAAUAGAAAGCCACGGCUAACUACGUG